UGCAAAUGAUGAGAGCCUGGCCA
This 23-nucleotide non-coding RNA is filed under the name Mus musculus (house mouse). The record is from RNAcentral. Lineage: Eukaryota; Metazoa; Chordata; Mammalia; Rodentia; Muridae.